UGCAGUCGAGGGGUAUAGUUCUUCGGAAUUAGAGACCGGCGCACGGGUGCGUAACGCGUAUGCAAUCUACCUUUUACAGAGGGAUAGCCCAGAGAAAUUUGGAUUAAUACCUCAUAGUAUAAUGACUCGGCAUCGAGAUAUUAUUAAAGUCACAACGGUAAAAGAUGAGCAUGCGUCCCAUUAGCUAGUUGGUAAGGUAACGGCUUACCAAGGCUACGAUGGGUAGGGGUCCUGAGAGGGAGAUCCCCCACACUGGUACUGAGACACGGACCAGACUCCUACGGGAGGCAGCAGUGAGGAAUAUUGGACAAUGGGCGCAAGCCUGAUCCAGCCAUGCCGCGUGCAGGAUGACGGUCCUAUGGAUUGUAAACUGCUUUUGUACAGGAAGAAACACUGGUUCGUGAACCAGCUUGACGGUACUGUAAGAAUAAGGAUCGGCUAACUCCGUGCCA
RNAcentral lists this ribosomal RNA (452 nucleotides) under Flavobacterium sp. Lake-D51. RNAcentral's name for it is "bacterial SSU rRNA". It matches the Rfam family "Bacterial small subunit ribosomal RNA", at positions 56 to 510 of the family's 1533-position model. Lineage: Bacteria; Pseudomonadati; Bacteroidota; Flavobacteriia; Flavobacteriales; Flavobacteriaceae. The record is from RNAcentral.